UACGUAGGGGGCAAGCGUUAUCCGGAUUUACUGGGUGUAAAGGGAGCGUAGACGGCGUGCCAAGUCUGAUGUGAAAGCCCAGGGCUCAACCCUGGGACUGCUUUUGAAACUGCCGGGCUGGAGUGCAGGAGAGGUAAGCGGAAUUCCUAGUGUAGCGGUGAAAUGCGUAGAUAUUAGGAGGAACACCAGUGGCGAAGGCGGCUUACUGGACUGUAACUGACGUUGAGGCUCGAAAGCGUGGGUAUCGAACAGG
This 253-nucleotide ribosomal RNA is filed under the name uncultured Lachnospiraceae bacterium. RNAcentral's name for it is "partial 16S ribosomal RNA". It matches the Rfam family "Bacterial small subunit ribosomal RNA", at positions 524 to 776 of the family's 1533-position model. The record is from RNAcentral. Lineage: Bacteria; Bacillati; Bacillota; Clostridia; Lachnospirales; Lachnospiraceae.